Molecule: ribosomal RNA, 429 nt
Filed under: bacterium
Lineage: Bacteria
Description: partial 16S ribosomal RNA
Rfam family: Bacterial small subunit ribosomal RNA
Source: RNAcentral
UAGGGAAUCUUCCACAAUGGACGCAAGUCUGAUGGAGCAACGCCGCGUGAGUGAAGAAGGUUUUCGGAUCGUAAAGCUCUGUUGUUGGUGAAGAAGGAUAGAGGCAGUAACUGGUCUUUAUUUGACGGUAAUCAACCAGAAAGUCACGGCUAACUACGUGCCAGCAGCCGCGGUAAUACGUAGGUGGCAAGCGUUGUCCGGAUUUAUUGGGCGUAAAGCGAGCGCAGGCGGAAUGAUAAGUCUGAUGUGAAAGCCCACGGCUCAACCGUGGAACUGCAUCGGCAACUGUCAGUCUUGAGUGCAGAAGAGGAGAGUGGAAUUCCAUGUGUAGCGGUGGAAUGCGUAGAUAUAUGGAAGAACACCAGUGGCGAAGGCGGCUCUCUGGUCUGCAACUGACGCUGAGGCUCGAAAGCAUGGGUAGCGAACAGG